GGUUGAUCCUGCCAGUAGUCAUAUGCUUGUCUUAAAGAUUAAGCCAUGCAUGUCUAAGUAUAAAUAGUAUACAGUGAAACUGCGAAUGGCUCAUUAAAACAGUUAUAGUUUAUUUGAUAAUUAAAUUCUACAUGGAUAACCGUAGUAAUUCUAGAGCUAAUACAUGCUGCAAGACCUGACUUUUUGGAAAGGUUGUAUUUAUUAGAUCUCAAACCAAUAUUCCUUCGGGUUUAUUGUGAUGAUUCAUAAUAACUGAUCGGAUCGAGGCUAGCCCUCGAUAAAUCAUUCAAGUU
RNAcentral lists this ribosomal RNA (293 nucleotides) under uncultured eukaryote. Its description in RNAcentral is "partial 18S ribosomal RNA". It matches the Rfam family "Eukaryotic small subunit ribosomal RNA", at positions 6 to 305 of the family's 1831-position model. The record is from RNAcentral.